UUGAACGCUGGCGGCAGGCCUAACACAUGCAAGUCGAACGGUAACAGGAAGCAGCUUGCUGCUUCGCUGACGAGUGGCGACGGGUGAGUAAUGUCUGGGAAGCUGCCUGAUGGAGGGGGAUAACUACUGGAAACGGUAGCUAAUACCGCAUAAUGUCGCAAGACCAAAGAGGGGGGACCUUCGGGCCUCUUGCCAUCGGAUGUGCCCAGAUGGGAUUAGCUUGUUGGUGGGGUAACGGCUCACCAAGGCGACGAUCCCUAGCUGGUCUGAGAGGAUGACCAGCCACACUGGAACUGAGACACGGUCCAGACUCCUACGGGAGGCAGCAGUGGGGAAUAUUGCACAAUGGGCGCAAGCCUGAUGCAGCCAUGCCGCGUGUAUGAAGAAGGCCUUCGGGUUGUAAAGUACUUUCAGCGGGGAGGAAGGGAGUAAAGUUAAUACCUUUGCUCAUUGACGUUACCCGCAGAAGAAGCACCGGCUAACUCCGUG
RNAcentral lists this ribosomal RNA (489 nucleotides) under uncultured bacterium. Its description in RNAcentral is "bacterial SSU rRNA". It matches the Rfam family "Bacterial small subunit ribosomal RNA", at positions 30 to 507 of the family's 1533-position model. The record is from RNAcentral.